GGAGAGCGGACCGGGAAGGGAGCGCGCACUGAACCAGAGCGGAGCCCUGAUGGGAAGACAGGCCGGCGCCCUCGCCAUGCACCUGCAGGUGGCUGUGCCUGCACACGCAUAGGGCACAAAAGAGCCAUGGAAGGUGUUUAAGCAAGAGGAUGAGACUAUCAGAAGGGUGAGACCACCUUAGAUGGGUGGUUUCUUGGCAACAACAGCAGCCUGGACACCAGGAGGCCUGGGCCUAAUCCCAGCACGGCCACCUAUGACAUCAGACAAGGCUUCCCUGGUGGCACAGUGGUUAAGAAUCCGCCUGCCAAUGCAGGGGACAAGGGUUCGAGCCCUGGUCCGGGAAGAUCCCACAUGCCGCAGAGCAACUAAGCCCAUGGCCACAACUACUGAGCCCGUGUGCCACAACUACUGAGCCCGUGUGCCACAACUACUGAAGCCUGCGCACCUAGAGCCCGUGCUCCGCAACAAGAGAAGCCACGACAAUGAGAAGCCUGCGCACCACAAUGAAGACCCAACACGGCCAAAAAUAAAAACAAACAAAUAAAUAAAUUUAUAAAACAAAACAAAAAUCUCUGAAAUCGUUUUGUUAUAAUCAAAUCAACGGUAUCUUAAAGUUGACGAAAUACAGCAGAACUGAGAGAGCAGCUGUGUGCACAGGAUCGCCUGGGUGGGGGUAGGACUUUCACUUCUUACUUAAAGGCUUCUCCAUGCUUUUUUUUUUUUUUAAAUACAACAAGCAUCUAUAGAUGUACCUUGAGGACAUGAUGCUAAGGGAAAUAAGCCAGUCACAAAAAGACAAAUAUUGUAUGAUUCUACUUAUACAAAGUAUCUAAAGCAGUCAAAUUCAUAGAAACAGAAAGUAGAAUGAUAGUUACCAGGUGCUGAGGGGAAAGAGAGAAUUUCAGAUAGGCAAGAUGAAAAAUUUCUGGGGAUCUGUUUCACAACAGUGUAAAAAAACUUAAUACUACUAAACUGUACAUUUAAAAAUGGGUAAGUAGUAAAUCUUAUGUGCUUUUUCUCCACAAAAAAAAAAAAAACCUUAAAAAUCUUACAAACUGAACAAAAAAUAUUUUAAGUACCUGCUUUAAUUAUUUCAUUUGCUCAUGACCUAUGGAUUUUCCACCAAGGCUGGGAUAUUAAAGUUUCAGGAUUUUUUUCCUGGCUACAAUCUAAAGAAAGAAAAAAAGGGAGAAGGGAAGGGAGGGAGGGAGGAAGGCAGGAGAGAAGUAGGGAAGGAGAAAAGGAAGGAAGGGAGAGAGAGAAAGAAAAAAAAGUACACGGAAGAGAAAUCUCGAAGAUUAAACCCUAGACUGUCAACAGGGAGUAGGACUGGGUGAUACCCUCGCUUUCCAUCUUACAGUGUUUGUAUAGUUCAAGUUAUUUUAAAACAUAAAAAAAUACCUAAAACAUAACCAUACAAAAUGAAACCAAUUCUUAAAAAACAUUUUAAAAUAUUCUAGCUAAUAAAGAAUUCCAAUGAGCCAGCAUCGGGGGAUAUAUCUGGGGUGGCCACUCUCUGAGGUGCACAGCUGGAUCCAUGCAUCCAGCACAUGGGGCUCAGGUGUGGGGCUGCCCUGGGCGGGCCUGGCUGGACCGCAGAGCAUCCGCAGGAAACAGCUGGAGUGGCUGCUUCGGGCAGCACAUGUGGGGUUUGCAGCUGGUGGGAGAUGCCCCCUCCCCCAAGGAGGAGUGGGGGGUAGGGGCCUCACAGGGGUAACUCGGUAAAAGAGUUCACGGGAGGGCCCUGAACCCCAAACUAGGAGGCGGAUUUGGUCCUGACCACAGUGGGAAGCCAGGGAAGUUUUCAGAGCAAAGCUGGCCGUGAUGAGGUGUCUUCAGGAAGUUAACUUUGGCCAUGAGUGGAGCGGUCUCGGCUGGGUCCCAUCUGAGGAAGUGAGAGCAUGUGGGGUUGGGGACCGGACCCUGGACCUCCUGCCCUCAUCCUCCUCCAACAAAGUCCUACCUGCUGAUGCUGGACCUCCUGCCCUCAUCCUCCUCCA
Long non-coding RNA from Physeter macrocephalus (sperm whale), 2000 nucleotides. RefSeq lists it as uncharacterized. The transcript is spliced from 3 exons. Lineage: Eukaryota; Metazoa; Chordata; Mammalia; Artiodactyla; Physeteridae. The record is from RefSeq and is a predicted model, not a curated record.